This 253-nucleotide ribosomal RNA is filed under the name uncultured bacterium. Its description in RNAcentral is "partial 16S ribosomal RNA". It matches the Rfam family "Bacterial small subunit ribosomal RNA", at positions 524 to 776 of the family's 1533-position model. The record is from RNAcentral.
UACGUAGGCAGCGAGCGUUGUUCGGAGUUACUGGGCGUAAAGAGUGCGUAGGCGGUUUUCUAAGUUUGGUGUGAAAUCUCCCGGCUCAACUGGGAGGGUGCGCCGAAGACUGGAAGGCUUGAGUAUGGGAGAGGUAAGCGGAAUUCCUGGUGUAGCGGUGAAAUGCGUAGAUAUCAGGAGGAACACCUGCGGUGUAGACGGCUUUCUGGACCAUAGCUGACGCUGAGACACGAAAGCGUGGGUAGCAAACAUG